GACGAACGCUGGCGGCGUGCCUAACACAUGCAAGUCGAGCGGAGAAACAAAAGAGCAGCUUGCUGCGAUUUGUUUCUUAGCGGCGGACGGGUGAGUAACGCGUGGGUAAUCUGCCUCAAACAGGGGGAUAACACAGGGAAACUUGUGCUAAUACCGCAUAAGACCCCACCAUGGCAUCAUGGAGAGGUCAAAGGAAGAAAUUCCGGUUUGAGAUGAGCCCGCGUCUGAUUAGCUAGUUGGUGAGGUAACGGCUCACCAAGGCGACGAUCAGUAGCCGAACUGAGAGGUUGAUCGGCCACAUUGGGACUGAGACACGGCCCAGACUCCUACGGGAGGCAGCAGUGGGGAAUAUUGCACAAUGGGGGAAACCCUGAUGCAGCGACGCCGCGUGAAGGAAGAAGGCCCUCGGGUUGUAAACUUCUUUGACCAGGGACGAAGAAAGUGACGGUACCUGGAGAACAAGCCACGGCUAACUACGUGCCAGCAGCCGCGGUAAGGAGU
RNAcentral lists this ribosomal RNA (501 nucleotides) under uncultured bacterium. Its description in RNAcentral is "bacterial SSU rRNA". It matches the Rfam family "Bacterial small subunit ribosomal RNA", at positions 28 to 528 of the family's 1533-position model. The record is from RNAcentral.